This is a long non-coding RNA of Bos grunniens (domestic yak), 1582 nucleotides long. Lineage: Eukaryota; Metazoa; Chordata; Mammalia; Artiodactyla; Bovidae. The record is from Ensembl.
GUCCCUGAUCCUCUUUAGGUCCCAGUUUUCCCACCUGGGAAAGGAAGGGCGGAUCCUUUGCUUGGGAAGGUCUCCAAUUGCGUUACUAUCCAGUGAGUCUCCCAUUAAGUCUUUUCAGCUGCACUUUCUGAGAAAGGCUGAAGUAAAGCAGUUUUUCCCCCUUCAGGUGGAAAAGAGAGCCGGGGCCAACCCGUCUGGGUGCGGACCUGUCAUUAGGAAGCCAGCUGCCAGCUUGUGUUCCCUUGGGAUGGAGGAGGAGCCCCGCGGUCCCUGCCAGGAGAGGGUCCCUUUAACAAAAAGCUGGUGCCGCCAUCUGCUUUCGCCCUCUGGGUAAUUCAGCUCCUGGGUGCCCUGAUGUGGAGAGUGGCGAGGGAGGCGUUGGGGAGGGGGGGCGGGUAGGUCAGUGGGCAGGCCUCGAUUCAAGGUUCUUAUUGGACUUUAGAGCCUUUACUCGCCGAGUUAAUUUCCCCAACUUGCCUAUCACAGGUUAAUACUGGACCCGUGCAUAAUGAUACAUAAUUUAAGACUUGUAAAAGCUGCCCAGGACUUGAAAGGAACACAGUCUAAGCCAGGAGCCUGUGCCUGGCAUGCAAGAGCAAGUAACACAGCAGAGGCAAGAAAGCAAGCCUCCAUGGAAGCGGAAGUGCUGGAACCUCGCUCAGCCCGAGUUGCAAACCUCUGCAGGCCAGUGGAAGUUUUGUAUUUUUUUCUUUAAAAGCAACUGGUUGUUCACCACACACUCGCUCACUUUAGGGUCGACAGGUGUAUGCUGUUCGGAAAUGUGGCAAACCCGCAGGCUGAUUCCUUGGGCUCUUUGCUACCUAAGAAAGAUUACCAAAUAAGUUAACUUUGACUCACUGACCCCUCAGAUCAGCCAAUAAAAUGAAGCGCUUACACCACAACUUGCUCAAGGGGUAGUGUAAUUGAUUUACUUAAAAAUGAUGUCAGGUGGCAAUUGAGCAACAAACUGGCUUCCAGACUGCUUAAUUCAGUUUAACAAGGAGGAAAAACCUUGUAAUUAACGGAAGAGCUUGAAUACUUUGGAAGCUGUUUUCAAAGUCUGCCAUACCUAAGCUGGGGAGGGUGGGGGUAGGAGGGGACAGCUUGUUGAAAACUAUAAGUUCCCAGGCCCCGCUUGCAAGUCAGGGGCCAGGCCUGGGAUUCUGCAUUUAAGAGAAACCCCUUUGCAAGUUCUGCUUCUCUGCUCAUCACCCAGUCUCACUUGACUUUUAGUUAAGCUCUACUCCCUUUUCUGUUCUAAGUCUACAUUGUAUAUAUAUGUCUAGAAUCCUAGGAGUUUCCCAUCCUAAAGCAACCAGCUUUGAGCUGCUGUUUUCCUGGAGUUUCAUGGUAUAUAUGUACUAAUGUUGGAAUUCUAGUUCAUCACGUUUCUGAUGGGAAAAUUCUUCAUCUUCCAGAGCCUGAUUAUAGAGGGCAUAGAGCUUUCAGGGGGUGGGGGCGGGAAGGUUCUGGGGCUCUUCUCUUGCAGUUUCCUGCCCCCAGGACAACCAGGACUCCAGUGCAGGAUGCCUGCUAUCUGAAGAAAGGUUGACACCUGCCCUUAACAACCAAGGUCCUGGCU